Molecule: ribosomal RNA, 601 nt
Filed under: uncultured marine eukaryote
Lineage: Eukaryota
Description: SSU rRNA
Rfam family: Eukaryotic small subunit ribosomal RNA
Source: RNAcentral
AACCUGGUUGAUCCUGCCAGUAGUCAUAUGCUUGUCUCAAAGAUUAAGCCAUGCAUGUCUAAGUAUAAGCACUUGUACUGUGAAACUGCGAAUGGCUCAUUAAAUCAGUUAUCGUUUAUUUGAUUGUACUUUACUACAUGGAUACCUGUGGUAAUUCUAGAGCUAAUACAUGCGAAAAAUCCCAACUUCUGGAAGGGAUGUAUUUAUUAGAUUAAAAACCAAUGCGUAUCUUCGGGUUCGUUUUCUUGGUGAUUCAUGAUAACUUUUCGAAUCGCAUGGCCUAGCGCCGGCGAUAUUUCAUUCAAAUUUCUGCCCUAUCAACUGUCGAUGGUAAGGUAGUGGCUUACCAUGGUUAUAACGGGUGACGGAGAAUUAGGGUUCGAUUCCGGAGAGGGAGCCUGAGAAACGGCUACCACAUCUAAGGAAGGCAGCAGGCUCGAAAAUUACCCAAUCCCGACUCGGGGAGGUAGUGACAAGAAAUAACGAUACGGGGUCUUAAUAGGUCUCGCAAUUGGAAUGAGUACAAUUUAAAUCCUUUAACGAGGAUCAAUUGGAGGGCAAGUCUGGUGCCAGCAGCCGCGGUAAUUCCAGCUCCAAUAGC